Molecule: ribosomal RNA, 266 nt
Filed under: uncultured bacterium
Lineage: Bacteria
Description: partial 16S ribosomal RNA
Rfam family: Bacterial small subunit ribosomal RNA
Source: RNAcentral
GUCCACGCUGUAAACGAUGAAUACUAGGUGUUCGGGGACUGACCCCCUGCGUGCCGCAGUUAACACAAUAAGUAUUCCACCUGGGGAGUACGAUCGCAAGGUUGAAACUCAAAGGAAUUGACGGGGGCCCGCACAAGCGGUGGAUUAUGUGGUUUAAUUCGAAGCAACGCGAAGAACCUUACCAGGGCUUGACAUCCUACUAACGAAGUAGAGAUACAUCAGGUGCCCUUCGGGGAAAGUAGAGACAGGUGGUGCAUGGUUGUCGU